Long non-coding RNA from Coturnix japonica (Japanese quail), 596 nucleotides. RefSeq lists it as uncharacterized. NCBI's taxonomy places the organism in Eukaryota, Metazoa, Chordata, Aves, Galliformes, Phasianidae. The record is from RefSeq and is a predicted model, not a curated record.
GGUUCCCAAAGACCGAAAAGCAAACAUGCUAUUUAUAGAGAGAGUUCAUUUACUGGAGCCUUUCCCUUUGAAAUUCCUCACCCAUCCUCGCCAUGGAAACCGAGAGAGCCUGGAGAAACAGCCCCAACGGGACCAAACAUCAGAGCUUUAAAAAGAGCCGCGUGGGGAAAGGGGGUGGAAGCAGCCAGUGUUCCCCUCUGGACACAUCCUGGCCUGGAAGAACCACAGUGCAAAUCACAGAGCGCUCAGUUCAGUGGGUUCGGGCUGUGCAAACGUGGAUUUGAUGCCUACAGGAUCAGAUGUUCUGGAAGAUGGACCAUUACUGGCAGCCUUGGGGACACAUUGCUCUCUGCAGACACUUAUAAAUAGUGCACAAUUUGCAGGUCCUGCUUCCUGCUGUCUUUGAGGUCUGGAAAUGCAGUGGAGAUGGUGCCACUGUAAGUGAUGCAUGCUGGUGAAUUACAAGUCCUCCACCUUUUUCAGCCAGUAAAUUCCUACCAGUUUAAUAUGGGCCUUGGAAAACUGAUGGGAAGGCCAAGAAUCACCCUUGAAGGAUAUUAUCUUCUAUAAAAAAUAAACUCUAUCAUCUUAUUGAA